RNAcentral lists this long non-coding RNA (434 nucleotides) under Elaeis guineensis (African oil palm). Its description in RNAcentral is "long non-coding RNA (EGUI_LNC080659)". The record is from RNAcentral. Lineage: Eukaryota; Viridiplantae; Streptophyta; Magnoliopsida; Arecales; Arecaceae.
CGUUCACCUGGAGCUCCACCUCAUAUUGGGCUCCCACUAGCAUUUUCUAUGGUAGACGGCUCCUCCUUAUAUAAGAGAGCAUCGAUCAAUCCUUAUGGUUGAUCUCGAUCUUGAUCACACCGAACUUCUCUAUCUUCUUUAAUCUUGAUCACUACUAUCGAACCUCGACAAUCGUGCACUCUGGUACCACCUAUUUUUAAUGCCAAUUACGCACUUUGGUACCUUCUGGCUCUAAUACCAAUUGUUCGAGAUCUAGUACCAUCUUGUUGCAGUAGAAAAAAAAGAAGAGAUAAAAGAGAACACAACAAAUAUGUGGAUCAGCCUAAGACUUACCUCCACGGGGCAAGCAAGCUUUCCUAUGAGAAAGAAACAAAUACAAGAGGAGAUCAUAUACUCUCAACUCUCAUAUAUCAAUUCUCUUUCUCAAUCUGAAG